Solanum lycopersicum (tomato) is the source of this 497-nucleotide long non-coding RNA. RefSeq lists it as uncharacterized. NCBI's taxonomy places the organism in Eukaryota, Viridiplantae, Streptophyta, Magnoliopsida, Solanales, Solanaceae. The record is from RefSeq and is a predicted model, not a curated record.
AUAUGUAAUUACUAAUUACCAUGUUUAGCAAAACAUUAGAAGCUCUUAAUCUUACUCUUUCUGCUAAACUAUGGCUAUCAGUGGCUUGGCCUCGACGCGCUCGGACGUGAACAUAUGGUAGCUUCUCGCCGCCGUCUUCUGAGAUGAUUGAGAUGAACCCCUAACUCUAUGUUGGCUCUGUCCUGCACAUACUGGAGUUCGAUAAUCAACCGACUUGCACAAGAUUGUGCGAGGAGGAUAGGAGAGAGACGCAGGGAGGCGGACCCAAGCACCCCAACGGUGCGGCUCUCUAGUGUUUACAUAUGUUCACGAGUCAUUCUGUUUUGUAGGUUUUGACAAUAAUCCUUCCACAAGUUCAUCUAUGAAUCUUGUUUCGAUUUCUUCUUCCUCUAAAGGUCACUUGUUCAUGAAUUGCCAUAAAUAGACUUAACUCUUGCUGCAAAAUAGUUAUGUAAGUUAUUAUGGCACCUUUUAAUAGCAUAUGAAUUAACUAGCAA